UACGGAGGGUGCGAGCGUUGUUCGGAAUGACUGGGCGUAAAGCGCACGUAGGCGGGAUGGAAAGUCGGAUGUGAAAGCCCCGAGCUCAACUCGGGAAUUGCAUUCGAAACUUCCAUUCUUGAAUGCCUGAGAGGGUGAUGGAAUUCUAGGUGUAGGAGUGAAAUCCGUAGAUAUCUAGAGGAACACCGGAGGCGAAGGCGAUCACCUGGCAGGACAUUGACGCUGAGGUGCGAAAGCGUGGGUAGCAAACAGG
Molecule: unclassified non-coding RNA, 253 nt
Filed under: uncultured Oligoflexaceae bacterium
Lineage: Bacteria; Pseudomonadati; Bdellovibrionota; Oligoflexia; Oligoflexales; Oligoflexaceae
Description: contains 16S-23S intergenic spacer region
Rfam family: Bacterial small subunit ribosomal RNA
Source: RNAcentral